AUUUAUAUAGUUUAAUAAAAACAUUACAUUUUCAUUGUAAAAAUAAGAAAUUUUUCUUUAUAAAUU
This 66-nucleotide transfer RNA is filed under the name Asyndetus clavipes. RNAcentral describes it as "tRNA-Glu". The record is from RNAcentral. Lineage: Eukaryota; Metazoa; Arthropoda; Insecta; Diptera; Dolichopodidae.